RNAcentral lists this long non-coding RNA (525 nucleotides) under Linum usitatissimum (flax). RNAcentral describes it as "long non-coding RNA (LUSI_LNC007474)". Lineage: Eukaryota; Viridiplantae; Streptophyta; Magnoliopsida; Malpighiales; Linaceae. The record is from RNAcentral.
ACCACCUGGCUCUUGGCUCUCGCUUACUGCAUCCUCUCUAGAGAUCAUAAAGAUGAAGAAGAAGAAGACCUUCUCACCAAGAUGAAUCCUCAUCUUUGUGUUCCCUCUUUGGUCAGUAGGGUGUAUUUCGAUGAUGCCCCAGGACCUCCUGUUGAUCAAGGUACUUGCAUAAAAAGUUUUUCUGAUUAAGGGUGUAAUAGUAAAUAUUCAUAAAAGAUAGGAGUGUAAUUAGCAUUGUGUAAAUUUCAUCUUAUCAUAAAUUUGCAUGCUUAUUCCUUUGGUUUUAUCUCUGACAAAAAUUAGACAAGUGCCGGCUGUUCAACACUCAUAUGCCCUUCAGCUACCUCCCGGAUUCGAUCACAAAUAACGACAGUACCUGUAAAUUGGUUUACAUAACUCGAGACCCAAAGGACACACUGGUGUCUCUCUGGCACUUCUUCAACAAAAUCUACAGAUCGGACAACAACCUCGAUCCAUUAUCACUCGAAAAAGCCGCAGACAACUUCUGCAGCGGAGCGAUCCCCU